Molecule: transfer RNA, 74 nt
Filed under: Pseudanabaenococcus habilitatus PCC 7502
Lineage: Bacteria; Bacillati; Cyanobacteriota; Cyanophyceae; Pseudanabaenales; Pseudanabaenaceae
Description: tRNA-Arg (CCT) (tRNA-Arg-CCT-1-1)
Rfam family: tRNA
About the family: Transfer RNA (tRNA) molecules are approximately 80 nucleotides in length. Their secondary structure includes four short double-helical elements and three loops (D, anti-codon, and T loops).
Source: Rfam by way of RNAcentral
GGGGUUGUGGCUCAGUUGGAUAGAGCAAGCGCCUCCUAAGCGCUAGAUCGGCGGUUCAAGUCCGCCCAAUCCCG